Molecule: long non-coding RNA, 1682 nt
Organism: Mya arenaria
Lineage: Eukaryota; Metazoa; Mollusca; Bivalvia; Myida; Myidae
Exons: 5
Source: RefSeq, a predicted model, not a curated record
UUAAAAUUGGAUAAGCUUUAGCACAAUAUACGCGCAUUGGAGUUAACAUCAAGAACAUAAUUAUGAAACCAACAUUUUCAGAAAUCGUGAGGAAUUUAUACGGAGCUAUUAUUUGCUAAUUGGAAGAUGAAUUUAUUUGCUGGUUUAUUGAAAGUGUUUCGACAACUGACUUAAACGUCGACCGACAUUCUACAAAUGAUCGGGAAUGAAUGCCCUGAACGUGAUCGAAAACGAUUCCUUAGACAAAUGGCUUCUUUUAGAUUGGAUGAUGCGAGCACUAGUCUCACACUGAAUUUCUGACUUUGUGAUCACCUGAGGCAUUUUCUGGUUGGAUGUGAUCCUAAGUUGUUGUCAUAGAGUUACCAAAAUCAAAGGUAGAUGGCAAGACCGAUGAGGCAAGAUGCUAGAGACACAGCAUUAGAAUGCCUUCGGUAUCGUAGUUGUCUCCCUCUACUGCUGCAACAGAAAGUUCUGCAGUUCAAGGAAAGGCAGGUAUUGAUCGCAGUCACAAAUGCCAUUUGUUACGGGGGCAGUUACAAAUGUCAUUUGUUCCGGGGGGGGUAUUGUAUUGCCAUUGAACUAUUCAGCUAGCGAGUUAGUAACGCAUUUACAUUAUUUCAACCAAAAAGCUGGGUGUCUUGCUUGAGUUCAGACUAUCGCAUUUAAAAUCUUUGAUAAACUAAUGUGUGUCUACAUUACAAAGUAGUUGAUAUCUAGGCUAUUUCCAUGCGGUACUCAUUUCUUUAUGCACUAGGAUGUAAAACAAAGUGCAAUCUACCUUGUGUAGCAUAAUAAUUUCCAGUUAGAGGCUGAGUUCAGUGUUUUAAAGCGUGCAUUAAUCACUGCUGUACUAAAGAGUUCCAACAAAUAAGCUUAGUUUACUCAAGUUGCAGAAACGGAUAGAAAAGGGAAUAUGUGGAAGCCGACUACUUACAUUCCUUUUAAUGAUUGACAGAUGGGUAGGUAUGCUGAUGACACAACAUCGGGCUGUGACAAUCCGAAGGAUCUCUAAAACUGGUGUCGGAUAAUUUGAUAUUCAUUUUUAUAAUUAGAUUUCAAACAACAUGUCAUUUUCAUAUUUUAAUUUACAUUUACACGAUUCUUUGUUAUUGUUAUUGUGGCAGGCGAAUGUUUUCUUCCAGAUAGGUUGAUACGUGCAACCGUCCAUUACUGAAUCUCUGAACUUUAGAUCACACGAGACAUUUUCUGGUAGGAUGUUGUUUUAAGUUGCCCGGACGUCAAUGACCAGAGGUACAAGUGCCCAAAAAUGUUUUUUCAAGUGACAGAGACGGAGUGGUAUGCCGAAAAAAGUAUAUCGGAAUGCCACAAGCCUGGUAUCUGCUUUGGUCAAAUGGCAGUUGUUUCCCUUGGGUUGCUGUUAAACUAGUGAGCUACAGUUUGAGAAAAGCAGGCAAAUACAAAUUGACGUACUUCGCAGAGAUCUGUACUUCCUGACAGGAUGUGUUCCACAGUUAUCCGGUAUUGACAAGAAUAAAAGAUAUGGCUUUGUAACACAUUAGGGACACAUAAUACCUUUUCAAUUUCAAAAUAAUAAUGACAGUCUAUACCACUGUUUUACAAUAUAAGCAAACGUUUACAAAAUUGACUGCUUAUACUGUUUUUGUUCUAAACACGCAAUACACCCAAUAAUAAGCAUGUCAUUUCAUCUUCAAAUCUCAAAU